Molecule: ribosomal RNA, 468 nt
Filed under: uncultured bacterium
Lineage: Bacteria
Description: partial 16S ribosomal RNA
Rfam family: Bacterial small subunit ribosomal RNA
Source: RNAcentral
GACGAACGCUGGCGGCGUGCUUAACACAUGCAAGUCGAACGGAAAGGCCCCGCUUUUGUGGGGUGCUCGAGUGGCGAACGGGUGAGUAACACGUGAGUAACCUGCCCUUGACUUUGGGAUAACUUCAGGAAACUGGGGCUAAUACCGGAUAGGAGCUCCUGCUGCAUGGUGGGGGUUGGAAAGUUUCGGCGGUUGGGGAUGGACUCGCGGCUUAUCAGCUUGUUGGUGGGGUAGUGGCUUACCAAGGCUUUGACGGGUAGCCGGCCUGAGAGGGUGACCGGCCACAUUGGGACUGAGAUACGGCCCAGACUCCUACGGGAGGCAGCAGUGGGGAAUAUUGCACAAUGGGCGGAAGCCUGAUGCAGCAACGCCGCGUGCGGGAUGACGGCCUUCGGGUUGUAAACCGCUUUCGCCUGUGACGAAGCGUGAGUGACGGUAAUGGGUAAAGAAGCACCGGCUAACUACGUG